This 459-nucleotide ribosomal RNA is filed under the name Streptococcus sanguinis. Its description in RNAcentral is "bacterial SSU rRNA". It matches the Rfam family "Bacterial small subunit ribosomal RNA", at positions 28 to 472 of the family's 1533-position model. The record is from RNAcentral. Lineage: Bacteria; Bacillati; Bacillota; Bacilli; Lactobacillales; Streptococcaceae.
GACGAACGCUGGCGGCGUGCCUAAUACAUGCAAGUAGAACGCUGAAGAGAGGAGCUUGCUCUUCUUGGAUGAGUUGCGAACGGGUGAGUAACGCGUAGGUAACCUGCCUGGUAGCGGGGGAUAACUAUUGGAAACGAUAGCUAAUACCGCAUAAAAUUGAUUAUUGCAUGAUAAUUAAUUGAAAGAUGCAAUUGCAUCACUACCAGAUGGACCUGCGUUGUAUUAGCUAGUUGGUGAGGUAACGGCUCACCAAGGCGACGAUACAUAGCCGACCUGAGAGGGUGAUCGGCCACACUGGGACUGAGACACGGCCCAGACUCCUACGGGAGGCAGCAGUAGGGAAUCUUCGGCAAUGGGGGGAACCCUGACCGAGCAACGCCGCGUGAGUGAAGAAGGUUUUCGGAUCGUAAAGCUCUGUUGUAAGAGAAGAACGGGUGUGAGAGUGGAAAGUCACACUGG